ACGGAGGGGGCAAGCGUUGUUCGGAAUUACUGGGCGUAAAGGGCGCGUAGGCGGCCUGUUGCGUCAGGUGUGAAAUCCCCGGGCUCAACCUGGGAACAGCACUUGAUACGGGCAGGCUAGAAUCCGGGAGAGGAUGGUGGAAUUCCCAGUGUAGAGGUGAAAUUCGUAGAUAUUGGGAAGAACACCGAUGGCGAAGGCAGCCAUCUGGACCGGUAUUGACGCUGAGGCGCGACAGCGUGGGGAGCAAACAGG
Molecule: ribosomal RNA, 252 nt
Filed under: uncultured bacterium
Lineage: Bacteria
Description: partial 16S ribosomal RNA
Rfam family: Bacterial small subunit ribosomal RNA
Source: RNAcentral